Molecule: small RNA, 169 nt
Filed under: Arabidopsis thaliana (thale cress)
Lineage: Eukaryota; Viridiplantae; Streptophyta; Magnoliopsida; Brassicales; Brassicaceae
Description: ATSL214250
Source: RNAcentral
UUUUUUUUUCCACAAUUAUUAUUUAUAUUAAGUUAUCGGGAAAAGACUCUGCGCUAAAGAAAGCCAUUCAAGAACCGAUAUGCUUAUAUGGAAAAAUGCUAUUUUGAACCCGGGCUUUUUUAGCUAAACAAUCUGCUCGAGUAUUAGAACUACGAGGAAAAUAUAUAAU